RNAcentral lists this ribosomal RNA (522 nucleotides) under uncultured Glomeraceae. Its description in RNAcentral is "SSU rRNA". It matches the Rfam family "Eukaryotic small subunit ribosomal RNA", at positions 569 to 1092 of the family's 1831-position model. The record is from RNAcentral. Lineage: Eukaryota; Fungi; Glomeromycota; Glomeromycetes; Glomerales; Glomeraceae.
AGCAGCCGCGGUAAUUCCAGCUCCAAUAGCGUAUAUUAAAGUUGUUGCAGUUAAAAAGCUCGUAGUUGAAUUUCGGGGUUAGCAGGUCGGUCGUGCCAUCGGUAUGAACUGGUCUCGCUGAUCCCUCCCUCUUGACGAACUGUGAUGCCAUUAAUUUGGUGUCGCAGGGAAUCAGGACUGUUACUUUGAAAAAAUUAGAGUGUUUAAAGCAGGCUCACGCUUGAAUACAUUAGCAUGGAAUAAUGAAAUAGGACGUUUGAUCCUAUUUUGUUGGUUUCUAGGAUCGACGUAAUGAUUAAUAGGGAUAGUUGGGGGCAUUAGUAUUCAAUUGUCAGAGGUGAAAUUCUUGGAUUUAUUGAAGACUAACUACUGCGAAAGCAUUUGCCAAGGAUGUUUUCAUUAAUCAAGAACGAAAGUUAGGGGAUCGAAGACGAUCAGAUACCGUCGUAGUCUUAACCAUAAACUAUGCCGACUAGGGAUCGGAUGAUGUUAAUUUUUUAAUGACUCAUUCGGCGCCUUACG